CCUACGGGGGGCAGCAGUGAGGAAUAUUGGUCAAUGGACGAGAGUCUGAACCAGCCAAGUAGCGUGAAGGAUGACUGCCCUAUGGGUUGUAAACUUCUUUUAUAUGGGAAUAAAAUGUUCCACGUGUGGGAUUUUGUAUGUACCAUAUGAAUAAGGAUCGGCUAACUCCGUGCCAGCAGCCGCGGUAAUACGGAGGAUCCGAGCGUUAUCCGGAUUUAUUGGGUUUAAGGGGAGCGUAGGUGGAUUGUUAAGUCAGUUGUGAAAGUUUGCGGCUCAACCGUAAAAUUGCAGUUGAAACUGGCAGUCUUGAGUACAGUAGAGGUGGGCGGAAUUCGUGGUGUAGCGGUGAAAUGCUUAGAUAUCACGAAGAACUCCGAUUGCGAAGGCAGUUCACUGGACUGCAACUGACACUGAGGCUUGAAAGUGUGGGUAUCAAACAGGAUUAGAUACCCCAGUAGUC
This 460-nucleotide ribosomal RNA is filed under the name uncultured bacterium. Its description in RNAcentral is "partial 16S ribosomal RNA". It matches the Rfam family "Bacterial small subunit ribosomal RNA", at positions 338 to 795 of the family's 1533-position model. The record is from RNAcentral.